AUGGAUAGAUCUUGGAUUCGUGGCACACUGUUCUCUCGAGAGUACGUCAAUGGUGUCAAAGAGUUUAUGAACUUAAUUCAAGCAAAAUUCAGCGAGGGUGAAGAAAUACUAUGCCCAUGUAGAGAAUGCCUUAAUCGCAAAUACUGGCAUCAAGCUGUUGUGAACAAGCACAUAUUGACGCAUGGCAGGGAAAGUACAUAUACUCGUUGGAUAUAUCAUGGAGAAGACUUCAAUGCAAAUGUUAUUGAGCAUCUUGUUGAUGUGCAUGACUCCGAGGAUGGUAACAAUGGUGCUGACCGAUUUGAAGAGAUGUUUGGCGACCUAUGCACAGCAGUACAACAAGAUCAGAAGAAAACUGAAAAUGAAGACGGUAACAAUGGUGCAAAUCCUUCUAACACUGAGUCCUUUUUGAAGAACGUGAGAAAAGAGGCAAAGCGGCACCUUUAUCAUGGUUGUACCAAGUUUUCAAGGUUCUCAUUUGUGGUGAAUCUUCUUCAUUUGAAGUCAUGCCAUAGGAUCACAAAUAGUGCAUUUACUGACAUUUUGAAGCUACUGGCUGAAGCAUUCCCUCAACCCAAUACACUCCCAAAAUCUUAUGACGAAGCAAAGAAUCUUCAAAAGGAAUUAGGCCUUGGGUAUGAGUCUAUACAUGUGUGCAUCAAUAAUUGUGUUUUGUUCAGAAAGCAAUAUGCCAAGCAUGACAACUGCCCAGUCUGUGGCAUGUCAAGGUGGAAAGACCCUGAUAGAAAGAAGAUACCACAGAAAGUUUUGAGGCAUUUUCCAUUGGUGCCUAGGCUGAAGAGGAUGUUUCUUUCCAAAAAAGCAUCAGAAGAAGCACAGUGGCACAAGCUAAAGAGGCAACCCAGUGAGAAGGAAAUGAGCCAUCCAGCUGACGGUGAUGUGUGGCAAGAUUUUGAUAAAAAAAUGUCCAAAAUUUGCAGAAGAUGCCAGAAACAUGAGGCUUGGCAUCGCCACUGA
This 978-nucleotide ribosomal RNA is filed under the name Triticum aestivum (bread wheat). RNAcentral's name for it is "partial small subunit ribosomal RNA". Lineage: Eukaryota; Viridiplantae; Streptophyta; Magnoliopsida; Poales; Poaceae. The record is from RNAcentral.